Molecule: ribosomal RNA, 492 nt
Filed under: uncultured bacterium
Lineage: Bacteria
Description: partial 16S ribosomal RNA
Rfam family: Bacterial small subunit ribosomal RNA
Source: RNAcentral
AGUGAACGCUGGCGGUAGGCCUAACACAUGCAAGUCGAACGGCAGCACAGUAAGAGCUUGCUCUUACGGGUGGCGAGUGGCGGACGGGUGAGGAAUACAUCGGAAUCUACUUUUUCGUGGGGGAUAACGUAGGGAAACUUACGCUAAUGCCGCAUACGACCUACGGGUGAAAGUAGGGGAUCUUCGGACCUUGCGCGAUUGAAUGAGCCGAUGUCGGAUUAGCUAGUUGGCGGGGUAAAGGCCCACCAAGGCGACGAUCCGUAGCUGGUCUGAGAGGAUGAUCAGCCACACUGGAACUGAGACACGGUCCAGACUCCUACGGGAGGCAGCAGUGGGGAAUAUUGGACAAUGGGCGCAAGCCUGAUCCAGCCAUACCGCGUGGGUGAAGAAGGCCUUCGGGUUGUAAAGCCCUUUUGUUGGGAAAGAAAAGCAGCAGGUUAAUACCCCGCUGUUCUGACGGUACCCAAAGAAUAAGCACCGGCUAACUUCGUG